ACAUGCAAGUCGAACGGGCACCUUCGGGUGUCAGUGGCAGACGGGUGAGUAACACGUGGGAACGUACCCUUCGGUUCGGAAUAACUCAGGGAAACUUGAGCUAAUACCGGAUACGCCCUUUUGGGGAAAGGUUUACUGCCGAAGGAUCGGCCCGCGUCUGAUUAGCUUGUUGGUGGGGUAACGGCCUACCAAGGCGACGAUCAGUAGCUGGUCUGAGAGGAUGAUCAGCCACACUGGGACUGAGACACGGCCCAGACUCCUACGGGAGGCAGCAGUGGGGAAUAUUGGACAAUGGGCGCAAGCCUGAUCCAGCCAUGCCGCGUGAGUGAUGAAGGCCUUAGGGUUGUAAAGCUCUUUUGUCCGGGACGAUAAUGACGGUACCGGAAGAAUAAGCCCCGGCUAACUUCGUGCCAGCAGCCGCGGUAAUACGAAGGGGGCUAGCGUUGCUCGGAAUCACUGGGCGUAAAGGGCGCGUAGGCGGCCGAUUAAGUCAGGGGUGAAAGCCUGUGGCUCAACCACAGAAUUGCCUUCGAUACUGGUUGGCUUGAGACCGGAAGAGGACAGCGGAACUGCGAGUGUAGAGGUGAAAUUCGUAGAUAUUCGCAAGAACACCAGUGGCGAAGGCGGCUGUCUGGUCCGGUUCUGACGCUGAGGCGCGAAAGCGUGGGGAGCAAACAGGAUAAGAUACCCUGGUAGUCCACGCCGUAAACAAUGAAUGCCACCCGUUGGCCUGCUUGC
This 738-nucleotide ribosomal RNA is filed under the name Methylobacterium sp. Schreyahn_Kolonie_Aster_3.1. RNAcentral's name for it is "bacterial SSU rRNA". It matches the Rfam family "Bacterial small subunit ribosomal RNA", at positions 53 to 835 of the family's 1533-position model. The record is from RNAcentral. Lineage: Bacteria; Pseudomonadati; Pseudomonadota; Alphaproteobacteria; Hyphomicrobiales; Methylobacteriaceae.